Cricetulus griseus (Chinese hamster) is the source of this 4412-nucleotide non-coding RNA. Lineage: Eukaryota; Metazoa; Chordata; Mammalia; Rodentia; Cricetidae. The record is from RefSeq and is a predicted model, not a curated record.
AAUUAAAAUAAAUAAUAAAAAUUCUAAAAAGGGAGAGAGAGAAAAUCAGCAAAGAGGACAUCUACUUGUGGUCCCUGCCACCUCUGCAGGAGUCUUCGUAGAGAAGUGGCAUCUGGAAUCUGAGGAAGUUCAGUUAGCUUUGUUCUCUGCCUCACUUCUUAGGAGAGGGAAAGACACCAGCCAAGUAGCUGGCAGUCCUUAGUUUGUGUUACUUCUUAGGAAGAUCUGGAGUUCAAAGUGAGCCUUGACUACAUGAGACCCUGUCAUAGUGAGGGUUUGGAGAAGAAUAUAAAAGCCCAGGCAAGUAAGUGGACCCCAUCAGUGUCCCUGGCCAGGCGCAGGCCUGCCUACUCACCAUGCAGGCGUUACAUGGAUGUGGCCACACGGGGUUUCUGGGUCUCUUCAUUCUAGCGGCUACUGGAGAUUCCCCCCCCCUCCCUGCAUUCCUUUUCCCCUAAAUUCCUGAGAGGGAACUGAGGCCCCACACUUCUGAGCAGAGUCCUGCUUCAUCUGGCGGGCUGCACGGCCUGCCUCUAGCCUUCUCCCCAGUGUUCCUGUGCUCUCUGUGUCCCUGGGCUAUAAAAAGGGCGUGUCCUAGGAGUGACCCUGCCCAGUGCCUCCUCUGUGCAUAGACCUCUACCGUUAUCACCAAAACCUCUAUUUUUUUAGGUUAUAUUUUAUAUGUAUGAGUAUUUUGUCUGCGUGGAUAUAUGUGCACCAUGUACCCUCAGAGAACCAAAGAGGGUUUUGGAUCCACUGGAACCAAAGUUAGAGAUGUUUGUGAAGCAUCGUGUCAGUGCUGGGAAUCGAACCCAGGUCCUCUGAAUGACCAGCAAGUGUUCUUGACCACUGAACCAUCUCUCCAACCCUCAUGUUUCUAGCUCUCCAGCCUGUGAUUUAGCUGGCUUUCUGGGUCAGGACAAGAGGUAGGGAGGGACAGCAGAAGCAGGCCUGCUUUAUUUUCUUCAGUUGCAGCCUUUGUCCUACAACAAGAUUGGGUACAUUUAGGGAAUUAGCCUGAAUAUUGGCCCCAGACAGAUUUACUCAAUUCUUUGAGAAUCAGAAAUUAACCUCUGUGGGAUUUGCACAAGCAUCCCAAGCUAAUAUGGUGCUGAGUGUUGGAAGGCCUUCUCACCACUGAAGGAAGGGUCUCACUGUGUAGCCCAAGCAGGCUCUGAAUUCAUGACCCACCUCCUUCCACCUCCCACUUGCUGGGACUGCAGGUAUGGACCACUCCUGGCUAUAGGGCCCACUUCUGACCUAUGAAUUCUAGAGGGUUUCAAAGUAGCUUACCUUCAACCUUUUUAUUGAGUAAAGAUAGAACUGGCACUGGUGUCUAACAAUGCUUUCUGGCCUGCUGAAUUUUGUAUUCGGUUCUACAUGAGGGACCAAAUCCCUGGCUCUCCCUCAGGUAUGUUUUGGGAAUGUGUGAGAUUAUAACAAUAAAUGGCUUACAGGUUUAUUAACCAAACUCAUCUGCCAAGGUUCAAAUAAAAUCGCCAUCUUCUUAGAAACUAAAUUAAUAUAUGUAUUUUAAUCCACAUAGCACCCUCAAGGGGUAGCAGCAUAAGCUGAGAAGUCCGUUGCCCCAGGGUUCCAAAGGCCCAUAUUAGUGCUGGGGAGUGGCAGGGCAGCAGGGCAGCUAGGUGUUCUAGCUAGAAACAUCUACCCUGGCAUCCUUGGGUGUGAGCACUUGUGUGUGUGAGCACUUGUGGGCAGUUAGGGCAACAGGCCUCCUGGAGAACAAUCUGUGAGACUAGUGCAAGGGAGCCCUGGCAGGGCUAUCCCUGGUGGCGCAGCAGAGUGGCUUCAGGUGGGUUCCCCCAGGCAGGCAGCCUUCCUGCAGGGUCUGUGGGGACACUGACCACCCAGUCAGGGGAAGUCUUCAUGCCCAUAUAAUACUCCCAUUUGCCUACCCUACCUUCAACUUUUCCUUGCUUUGCUCGGACCCAUGACAGGGCAUGUGCCCCACAUUACUUCCUGCCCUGGUUCAUUCUAACUCAACUUGUUACAACCUAGGGUCACCUGGGAGGAAGUCUCAAUGAGCAGGUUGGCCUGCUGUAGGCAUGCCUGUGGAAAACUGUCCUGACUGUUAAUUGGUUGGGAUGGUACCCUCCCAUGGGCUAGGCUCUGGCCUGCAUGAGUAGAGAAAGCCAGCUGGGCACUAAGCAAGUAAGCAAUUAUGCGCUCUGCUCCUGGUCUUGGGUGUGAUGUGAUUGGCUGCUUGAGUUCCUGCCUUGACUUACCCAAAAUAGAUUGUAACUUGGAAUUAUAAGCCAAAUAAAUAAUUUCCUCUCCUAUGUUGCUUUUUUUGUCGCAGAAACAGAAAUGAGAUGAAUGCUGUCCCCUUGCACAGCAACCCUGCCUGCAUUAGAAAGUUCAAUCACAGAAGGAAUGGAACACAAGAAAAAGGAGUUUACCGGGGGAGUGAUGUGGGGAAGGGCGUUACAAAUGAAGAGUCAUUUGCCCUGAGUCUGUCUAAGCAGGGCUAAGAAGGAAGAAGAGCAGCAUUCUAGACAGAGGGAAGAGCAAGCAGGGAAAAGACACAGAAAUGCAUGACAGCCAGAACAUCAGAACUGGGACCUCUCAGUGUGCAUUAAGACUCCCAUCAGCUGGGCAGAGAAUACAGUGGAGAUGGAAAAGCUUUGCCCAUGCCUGACCUGGCGUCAUCUGGGCUGUUUGACAAGGGAAAGAGAAUCACUGAAGUGUCUCACUGCUUGCCUCUUACAGUUUUUCUGCCCAACAUUAACUGUUAGCUGACGGCUGUCCGGACAUCUGCCCCACAUGCAGAUGACAUGAGCAAGACUGGCUUCUCUCGGCCACUGAAGAAACCUAGGCUCCAUUUCUUUCACCACAGAUCGUUCCCAGGUGCCCCCGGGCUCACUCAGCCCUUCCUCUUGAAAAAACCUCCCAUGAGCGGUUCCGCCCAUGCAGAGGCUCCCAAGCUCAUCAUUGGCCUUUACUACAAGGAAGGCCAGAGCUGCCACUGACCUCAUUCAGGACAGGAAGAAUGAAUUUGCUAAAAGGCUGUCAGGAGGGCCAGAGAACCAGGUCUGAGGGGAGGUUUCCAGAACAAUACUUCAAACCCUGCCUGUGCCACAGAGCAUUAGCUGCUGCUGUCCUGUGCUCGCUCCCAGGAGUCUGACUCCUAGUGGCUACUGCUUCAGCUGGCAACCUUGCUACCGCUGCAUCAGGAAGGCAACCCAGAAGCCACAGUACCUUAGGCACCUGCUUCCCUGGAAAAGCACAUACCUAUGCAUCCUGCUUCCUUGUGUUUAUCACCUGCAAGUCAAGACCCUACUGUGCUCCAGAGAACACGAUACCACAAGCUCUUGGUGCAAGUUUUAUUUGGUUGGGUUUUUUUUUUUUUUUUUGGUGUGUUUGUUUGUAUCUAAGAAGAGCAGGGCUCCUAAAGUAAGAAAGGUGUCCAGGCAUCAGGAUUAUAAACUUGAGCACCUGCAAAGGACCAGAGGUGUAACUGAAUGGAAGAGCAAAUGCCUUGCUUUUAAAAGGCUCCAGGUGUGAUCCUCGGUAAGACAAAAAUAGUCUUUAUGGACUAUAGAGAAGAAAAGCUGGGCAGAGAAAUCACAGAUCCUGAGGGAAGAAAGUGGUUUCACUAAGGGCAUGGGUGAAUCAUGACUGCCCCUGAGGGGCGGCCAGUUCUCAGCCUAGAAAAGACUUAGAAGGAGGAGAAAGAGGGGAGCGGCUCCAGUCUGCAAACAAACCCUUCUUCACUUUUGGAGUGCCUUUCCACCUGCAGAGAAGGAGGCCAAAGGCAGUCACCAGACCUGGCCAGAAAGUCAACAAAUGCCUACACUGAGAACGGAAGUGCACAGAGCACAGGUAGCCCCAGGAAGCACAGGAGGCACACAGAUAAAUCACGAUCACAAACUGCAUUGACAGUUUGAGAUUGACACUGAGUGUCAAAUGCCGGCACAGACUGCCAAGUGCCAGGAAAAGAAAUUCAAUCUGGUCUAGGCAGACGCGGCGGUGCAACGUGAAACCCACCUGCAGGGACAGGGAAGGGCCCCGAACCUUGCUGGAACCUAUUUUUCCGAGGCGGGUCCUUGGGCACUUACCGAAGUCUUAGCUGGCCACUGGCCUGCCUCCAAGAGGUAGGAGCGUCUCUGCUUUACAGGUGAGAAAAACACGGUCCAGCGGCUUGCAGAGCCAUUGCAGGCCUGAGUUGGAAUCACUAGUCCAGGUCCCUAACACCACGCCCACGGCCAGAGGCGAGCGGGUGUUUACCGAGUGACUCCUGCUCCUCACCAAGCACACCUAGCCAGCGUUUUAAUGUAGGCACCACAGACUAUAAGGGACUGGGGAAGCGCUGGGCUCCUGGGUGGGGGUGGGGAGGUGCAGUGGCCAAAUCCCGGGCCGAACGACAGGCCGGGACCCUGCGAACUCACAGA